GGCGCGGGGUGGAGCAGCCUGGUAGCUCGUCGGGCUCAUAACCCGAAGGUCGUCGGUUCAAAUCCGGCCCCGCAACAC
Molecule: transfer RNA, 78 nt
Filed under: Klebsiella pneumoniae
Lineage: Bacteria; Pseudomonadati; Pseudomonadota; Gammaproteobacteria; Enterobacterales; Enterobacteriaceae
Description: tRNA-Met(cat)
Rfam family: tRNA
About the family: Transfer RNA (tRNA) molecules are approximately 80 nucleotides in length. Their secondary structure includes four short double-helical elements and three loops (D, anti-codon, and T loops). Further hydrogen bonds mediate the characteristic L-shaped molecular structure. tRNAs have two regions of fundamental functional importance: the anti-codon, which is responsible for specific mRNA codon recognition, and the 3' end, to which the tRNAs corresponding amino acid is attached (by aminoacyl-tRNA synthetases). tRNAs cope with the degeneracy of the genetic code in two manners: having more than one tRNA (with a specific anti-codon) for a particular amino acid; and 'wobble' base-pairing, i.e. permitting non-standard base-pairing at the 3rd anti-codon position.
Source: RNAcentral